Molecule: long non-coding RNA, 1205 nt
Filed under: Mytilus galloprovincialis (Mediterranean mussel)
Lineage: Eukaryota; Metazoa; Mollusca; Bivalvia; Mytilida; Mytilidae
Source: RNAcentral
CAUGCAGAGCUCCAGAUAAGAAUUCACAAAUUGGGGUUUUUACCCACCAUUUUCUUAUGUAAUUGGGUGAUUAAGUUUUUUAUUGCAUUAUCAAUUCAAAUUCACCCCUCAAGUUAAUAUCAAAUUGGGUUUUUCACCACCAAGCUCCUUAAUGUAUUGGGUUUUUACAUCAACACAAUAUUGAAUAUUUAGGCAAUAUCAACCCCAGAUGUUUUUCCAUCUUAAAUACGUUUCUUUCUUUGUAUACGUGCUAGCUAUUUUAUUUGGUUUAUUCACUGAAGAGCAAUUGUAGGUUUAAUUUGUGUCCAGUUUCAAACCUUCUGCUAGUUUUGUAUUUUCUCACAACUUAUAUAAACUGUAAAAAAUGGAUAUGUGUUUUCACAGGCACUCAUCUCAGAAUUUUUUAUCACUCAUUAACAGUAAAAUGAAAAAAAAUAGUAUAUAAACUCUAACUAUACUUGAAUGUUUUUGUUUUAUUCAAUUUACAUAAAUCUGGGUUAAGUGAUCCCUUAUUAGAACUUUUGGUUUCCGAUGCUUUCCAACUACAUAUCAUGAUUUGGCCUUUCACUUUUUCCAACUGAGUUUGUUUUUGACGAAACCCCGUGUUUAUUAGCAAUGUUCUCGUUAAGUUACGCAAACACGCCCGUGCGUUAGACGGACGCUUCCUAAAAUCACUGGCUGAGUCUUGUUAUCAUCAUAACUUUCCCUCAGCUAUUCAAAAGAAGCUGAAAACAUGCUUCUAUUCAAUAUUUUUACCGGACAUUCACUUUCGUUUUAAAUCAAUGUAUGUUAUGAUAAAUCCCGAGCAAUUCGAAAAAAAUAUGUCAAAAUGACACACGCUCAUUGGAUAAACGCCGAGAAGAUCGAAAUGUUUUCAAAAACAUGUGUACCUUUGGGCAACGGAAAAUUCCAGCAGGGACCCAUUUUAGCUACUUGAUGCAGGGAUCUAUUUUUAGAACAAAAGGACAUUUCCAAUUAUAAAUAUUAUACAAAUAGAUUUACGUGACGACUAAACAGAUAAGGGUAAAUAAUGAAAAUGGUAGCCAAUAAAAGGGUUGAGCACUCAUGGUUUUGGCAUAUGAUUGGGUUUUCCUUUGAACUAAUUGGGUUCUUGAACCCUGCAAUGGGCAAUUGCAUUGGGUUUUUUAUCAUUUGUAUUGCGUCAUCACGCAAAUACGCAGCUUAUCUGGAGCUCUGUACAUGUA